GGAAUGGAUAAGCGCUGAAAGCAUCUAAGCGCGAAGCCAACUUCAAGAUAAGAUUUCCCACCGCAAGGGUAAGACUCCAGAAAGACUAUCUGGUUGAUAGGUCGAAGGUGUAAGUGCAGCAAUGUAUUUAGCUUAUCGAUACUAAUAGGUCGAGGACUUGACCAAUAUUUAUU
RNAcentral lists this ribosomal RNA (173 nucleotides) under Clostridioides difficile. Its description in RNAcentral is "partial 23S ribosomal RNA". It matches the Rfam family "Bacterial large subunit ribosomal RNA", at positions 2757 to 2925 of the family's 2925-position model. The record is from RNAcentral. Lineage: Bacteria; Bacillati; Bacillota; Clostridia; Peptostreptococcales; Peptostreptococcaceae.